GGUUAAGCGACUAAGCGUACACGGUGGAUGCCCUGGCAGUCAGAGGCGAUGAAGGACGUGCUAAUCUGCGAAAAGCGUCGGUAAGGUGAUAUGAACCGUUAUAGCCGGCGAUGUCCGAAUGGGGAAACCCAGUGCAAUUCGUUGCACUAUCGUUAACUGAAUACAUAGGUUAACGAGGCGAACCGGGGGAACUGAAACAUCUAAGUACCCCGAGGAAAAGAAAUCAACCGAGAUUCCCCCAGUAGCGGCGAGCGAACGGGGAGCAGCCCAGAGUCUGAAUCAGCUUGUGUGUUAGUGGAACGGUCUGGAAAGUCCGACGGUACAGGGUGAUAGUCCCGUACACCAAAAUGCACAGGUUGUGAACUCGAAGAGUAGGGCGGGACACGUGGUAUCCUGUCUGAAUAUGGGGGGACCAUCCUCCAAGGCUAAAUACUCCUGACUGACCGAUAGUGAACCAGUACCGUGAGGGAAAGGCGAAAAGAACCCCGGCGAGGGGAGUGAAAAAGAACCUGAAACCGUGUACGUACAAGCAGUGGGAGCACCUUCGGGUGUGACUGCGUACCUUUUGUAUAAUGGGUCAGCGACUUAUAUUCUGUAGCAAGGUUAACCGUAUAGGGGAGCCGCAGGGAAACCGAGUCUUAACUGGGCGUUAAGUUGCAGGGUAUAGACCCGAAACCCGGUGAUCUAGCCAUGGGCAGGUUGAAGGUUGGGUAACACUAACUGGAGGACCGAACCGACUAAUGUUGAAAAAUUAGCGGAUGACUUGUGGCUGGGGGUGAAAGGCCAAUCAAACCGGGAGAUAGCUGGUUCUCCCCGAAAGCUAUUUAGGUAGCGCCUCGUGAAUUCAUCUUCGGGGGUAGAGCACUGUUUCGGCUAGGGGGUCAUCCCGACUUACCAACCCGAUGCAAACUACGAAUACCGAAGAAUGUUAUCACGGGAGACACACGGCGGGUGCUAACGUCCGUCGUGAAGAGGGAAACAACCCAGACCGCCAGCUAAGGUCCCAAAGUCAUGGUUAAGUGGGAAACGAUGUGGGAAGGCACAGACAGCCAGGAUGUUGGCUUAGAAGCAGCCAUCAUUUAAAGAAAGCGUAAUAGCUCACUGGUCGAGUCGGCCUGCGCGGAAGAUGUAACGGGGCUAAACCAUGCACCGAAGCUGCGGCAGCGACACGAUGUGUUGUUGGGUAGGGGAGCGUUCUGUAAGCCUGCGAAGGUGUGCUGUGAGGCAUGCUGGAGGUAUCAGAAGUGCGAAUGCUGACAUAAGUAACGAUAAAGCGGGUGAAAAGCCCGCUCGCCGGAAGACCAAGGGUUCCUGUCCAACGUUAAUCGGGGCAGGGUGAGUCGACCCCUAAGGCGAGGCCGAAAGGCGUAGUCGAUGGGAAACAGGUUAAUAUUCCUGUACUUGGUGUUACUGCGAAGGGGGACGGAGAAGGCUAUGUUAGCCGGGCGACGGUUGUCCCGGUUUAAGCAUGUAGGCUGGUUGUCCAGGCAAAUCCGGAUAAUCAAGGCUGAGGUGUGAUGACGAGGCACUACGGUGCUGAAGUAACAAAUGCCCUGCUUCCAGGAAAAGCCUCUAAGCAUCAGGUAACAUCAAAUCGUACCCCAAACCGACACAGGUGGUCAGGUAGAGAAUACCAAGGCGCUUGAGAGAACUCGGGUGAAGGAACUAGGCAAAAUGGUGCCGUAACUUCGGGAGAAGGCACGCUGGUGUGUAGGUGAAGUCCCUGCGGAUGGAGCUGAGACCAGUCGAAGAUACCAGCUGGCUGCAACUGUUUAUUAAAAACACAGCACUGUGCAAACACGAAAGUGGACGUAUACGGUGUGACGCCUGCCCGGUGCCGGAAGGUUAAUUGAUGGGGUUAUCCGUAAGGAGAAGCUCUUGAUCGAAGCCCCGGUAAACGGCGGCCGUAACUAUAACGGUCCUAAGGUAGCGAAAUUCCUUGUCGGGUAAGUUCCGACCUGCACGAAUGGCGUAAUGAUGGCCAGGCUGUCUCCACCCGAGACUCAGUGAAAUUGAACUCGCUGUGAAGAUGCAGUGUACCCGCGGCAAGACGGAAAGACCCCGUGAACCUUUACUAUAGCUUGACACUGAACAUUGAGCCUUGAUGUGUAGGAUAGGUGGGAGGCUUUGAAGCGUGGACGCCAGUCUGCGUGGAGCCAACCUUGAAAUACCACCCUUUAAUGUUUGAUGUUCUAACGUUGGCCCCUGACCGGGGUUGCGGACAGUGUCUGGUGGGUAGUUUGACUGGGGCGGUCUCCUCCCAAAGCGUAACGGAGGAGCACGAAGGUUAGCUAAUCCUGGUCGGACAUCAGGAGGUUAGUGCAAUGGCAUAAGCUAGCUUGACUGCGAGCGUGACGGCGCGAGCAGGUGCGAAAGCAGGUCAUAGUGAUCCGGUGGUUCUGAAUGGAAGGGCCAUCGCUCAACGGAUAAAAGGUACUCCGGGGAUAACAGGCUGAUACCGCCCAAGAGUUCAUAUCGACGGCGGUGUUUGGCACCUCGAUGUCGGCUCAUCACAUCCUGGGGCUGAAGUAGGUCCCAAGGGUAUGGCUGUUCGCCAUUUAAAGUGGUACGCGAGCUGGGUUUAGAACGUCGUGAGACAGUUCGGUCCCUAUCUGCCGUGGGCGCUGGAGAAUUGAGGGGGGCUGCUCCUAGUACGAGAGGACCGGAGUGGACGCAUCACUGGUGUUCGGGUUGUCAUGCCAAUGGCACUGCCCGGUAGCUAAAUGCGGAAGAGAUAAGUGCUGAAAGCAUCUAAGCACGAAACUUGCCCCGAGAUGAGUUCUCCCUGAGACUUUAAGUCUCCUGAAGGAACGUUAAAGACGAUGACGUUGAUAGGCCGGGUGUGUAAGCGCAGCGAUGCGUUGAGCUAACCGGUACUAAUGAACCGUGAGGCUUAACCUU
RNAcentral lists this ribosomal RNA (2901 nucleotides) under Klebsiella pneumoniae subsp. pneumoniae. Its description in RNAcentral is "23S ribosomal RNA". It matches the Rfam family "Bacterial large subunit ribosomal RNA". The record is from RNAcentral. Lineage: Bacteria; Pseudomonadati; Pseudomonadota; Gammaproteobacteria; Enterobacterales; Enterobacteriaceae.